This is a long non-coding RNA of Alnus glutinosa, 813 nucleotides long. RefSeq lists it as uncharacterized. The record is from RefSeq and is a predicted model, not a curated record. Lineage: Eukaryota; Viridiplantae; Streptophyta; Magnoliopsida; Fagales; Betulaceae. The transcript has 3 exons.
GGAAAAACGAGAGUUAGUGGUUCUGCUAAGCCUUGUUCCUAGCUCUGUCGGCCGGUGAGGAAAGACAAGAACAGCUCUUCCAAAGACAGUCUACAAGGCCACCGCAGCCUCGUCCUAAAUACAUGACCAUUGAAAUUACAAAUAAGAAUUAAAGAAGGAUUCUAUGAUCCAAAGAAGUGGCUAAGAGGCCAUCAUGGCUAGUAGGAAAUUUAAGAAAGGCAACUUAAUUGCUAGAUGGCAGAAUCAGCAAGUGCAGAAAUUCAAGAAGAAGCAAAUGCUUUGAUAAUAAAUGUCAAUGAAAAUUCUGAAAGUGAAUGGGAAGCAAAUAGUGCAAGUGGAAAUGAAAGUCAAAAUGGAGAAGUUUAUAGAGAAGCCAACUUGCUAGACAGAGCGUUGGCAAAUAACAUCACACAAAUGCUAGAAAACUCGGAGCCUCCCUUAUCACCUGAAUGAUGUAUCUACAGGGUUCCAAGGGAUCUUCGCAAAGUGAACGAAGAAGCUUACACUCCUCAAGUUAUAUCAAUAUAUAGGGCCUUUUCACCACGGUGUUGAAAGAUUGGAAACUAUGGAAACGUAUAAAGAGAGAUAUUUCAAAAUAUUUGUGGAGAAGACUAAGCUAAAGGUGGAGAAUUUAGUAAGCACUAUAAGGGAUAGGGAAGCAAAUGUUCGUUGUUGUUAUUCACAUACUAGCAGACUUAGUAGUGAUGAUUAUGUGAAAAUGAUCCUGCUGGAUGCGAGCUUCAUUAUUGUACUUUAUCUCGUAUACCACGUUAAAGAAUGGUGUCGUUACGGCAACUUUACAAUAUUUUUGGA